This 135-nucleotide non-coding RNA is filed under the name Triticum urartu. RNAcentral describes it as "Bacterial large subunit ribosomal RNA". It matches the Rfam family "Bacterial large subunit ribosomal RNA", at positions 712 to 852 of the family's 2925-position model. The record is from Rfam by way of RNAcentral. Lineage: Eukaryota; Viridiplantae; Streptophyta; Magnoliopsida; Poales; Poaceae.
GACCUGAAACCGACCGAUCUAGCCAUGAGCAGGUUGAAGAGAUCUUUAAUAGGCCUUGGAGGACCGAAACCACGCAUGUGGCAAAAAAGGGGGGUGACUUGUGGUAGGGGCGAAAGGCCAACCAAAGACAACAGG